CCAACAUCUUCUUGAUCAAUUUGCUGUAUACCAACAGAGCUGAUUAUGAACUUCAAGACCACAUUGGAAGUUUCCACUUAGAAAUUUAUACAUUGUUUACUCUCAGAGGAGUAUAUCAGUAGGCAUAAGAACACAUCGUAUACAGAAUGAGUGCUCCAUGGAACACAGUUUGGGGAAUACCGAGAUAAAACUAUUCCUCGCCGUGUAUCAUCAGCGUGUUGGGAGAGUCAUGCAAGAUCAAAAAGACAGAAUAUUAAAAAUUCAGCCAGACACACCAAGGCUGCCCUGAUGAUAACAACCAUGG
Long non-coding RNA from Suricata suricatta (meerkat), 304 nucleotides. RefSeq lists it as uncharacterized. The record is from RefSeq and is a predicted model, not a curated record. The transcript is spliced from 4 exons. NCBI's taxonomy places the organism in Eukaryota, Metazoa, Chordata, Mammalia, Carnivora, Herpestidae.